GUCUAUUUGAGGAUAUUUAUAGUCUAGCCUGCUCACUGACAUUAAUCGUUAAAAUAGCCGCGGUAUUCCUGACCGUGCAAAGGUAGCAUAAUCAUUAGUCUUUAAUUGAAGACUUGUAUGAAUGGUUGGACAAAGAAAAAUCUGUCUCUUUAUUUAAUAUUGAAUUUGACUUCUAAGUGAAAAGGCUUAGAUAUUCUGGAGGGACGAUAAGACCCUAUAAAGCUGUAUAAAUUUAAUGAUUUUAUAGAUUUUGUUGAUAUAAAAAUAGUUUUGAAAAAUUUAUUUGGUUGGGGCGACAAAAGUAUAAUUAUAAUAACUGCUAAUAUUUAAUACAAUUAUUUUUGUUUAGAAAUUUUAGUUGAUCCUUUUUAAAGAUUAAAAGAUCAAGUUACUUUAGGGAUAACAGCGUAAUUUUUUCUGAGAGUACUUAUCAAAGAAAAAGUUUGCGACCUCGAUGUUGAAUUAAAAUGUCUUUACAGUGCAGCAGCUUAGAAGAAGGUCUGUUCGACCUUUAAAUUUUU
RNAcentral lists this ribosomal RNA (521 nucleotides) under Lupocyclus quinquedentatus. RNAcentral describes it as "partial 16S ribosomal RNA". It matches the Rfam family "Bacterial large subunit ribosomal RNA", at positions 1825 to 2597 of the family's 2925-position model. The record is from RNAcentral. Lineage: Eukaryota; Metazoa; Arthropoda; Malacostraca; Decapoda; Portunidae.